Molecule: long non-coding RNA, 1582 nt
Filed under: Salmo salar (Atlantic salmon)
Lineage: Eukaryota; Metazoa; Chordata; Actinopteri; Salmoniformes; Salmonidae
Description: lncRNA (ENSSSAG00000099108.1)
Source: RNAcentral
AGUUGACAUUCAGUAACGGACAGUAACUAUGACAUCAUCAGUAACGGACAGUAACUAUGACAUCAUCAGUAACAGACAGUAACUAUGAGACAGACAUGGUUUGGGGUCAAUUCAGUCAGAAAGUGCAAAUUCAAUUCAAUGAUUAAAAAAAGAAAAGAAAAUAAAUUCCAAUUGAUGCUGAUGUUGAUAUUGAAUGAACCCACAAACCCUGCUGAGACAAACUGGACAAACACGUGAGGUCAUUCCCCAACUCCUGCUGCACUACCUACCGCUUGGUGGCGGUGUGAUUACUGAACUCUAUACCAUCUAUCUAUUGGUCAACGGUCCCAAGCAACGUUCCAGCUGUGUUUCUGAGUCUGCUGCCCAUCAAACCAUGUGUUACCGGUAUACCACUGACGAUACCGUCUCAUGUUUACCGGCACAGUAGCACCGACUGCACCGUACCGUACUGUUCGUGUUUGUUAAGAGUUGAUGCUGCUGUAGGUGUGUAGAUCUUACAUCAUGCCGACAUCAUGCCCACAUUCAGAGCUAACGUAGCUAACGUAGCUAAUGUAGCUAAUAUAGCUAAGGUAGCUAAUAUAUCUAAGGUAGCUAAUAUAGCUAACGUUGUAGCUAAUGUAGCUAACGUAGCUAAUGUAGAUAAUGUAGCUAAGGUAGCUAAUAUAGCUAACGUUGUAGCUAAUGUAGCUAACGUAGCUAAUAUAGCUAACGUUGUAGCUAAUGUAGCUAACGUAGCUAAUGUAGCUAACGUUGUAGCUAAUGUAGCUAACGUAGGUAAUGUAGCUAACGUAGCUAAUGUAGCUAACGUAGCUAAUGUAGCUAAUAUAGCUAACGUUGUAGCUAAUGUAGCCAACGUAGCUAAUGUAGCUAAUGUAACUAACGUAGCAAAUGUAGCUAACGUAGUAAUGUAGCUAACGUAGCUAACGUAGCUAAUGUAGCUUAUCUUGUGUCCUGUGUGAAUUUAAGUAUGCCAACUCUAAUUCGCUCUCUCUCCCUCUCCUCAAGGAGGACCUGAGCCUUCGGGCCAUGCUUCAGGACUGCCUGGCCUGAUGACUCCUUGCUGUCCCCAGUCCACCUGGUCGUGCUGCUGCUCUAGUUUCAACUAUUCUGCCUGCGGCUAUGAAACCCUGACGUUUUCACCGGAUGUGCUACCUCGACCUGCUGUUUUCGACUCUCCCUCUCUCUACCGCACCUGCUGUCUCUAACUCUGAAUGCUCGGCUAUGAAAAGUCAACUGACAUUUACUCCUGAGGUGCUGACCUGUUGCACCCUCGACAACCACUGUGAUUAUUAUUAUCUGACCCUGCUGGUCAUUUAUGAACAUUAGAACAUCUUGGCCAUGUUCAGUUAUAAUCUCCACCCGGCACAGCCAGAAGAGGACUGGCCACCCCUCAAAGCCUGGUUCCUCUCUAGGUUUCUUCCUAAGGAUUCUGAGCCUCUUCUCUUCCCGUAGCCGCUGCUCCUCCUCUUCCUGGUCCUGUCGACACUUGUGGAAGUUCUCCACGACCACACCCACGAACAUGUUGAGGACGAAGAAACUGACGAUGAGGAGGAAGGAGAUGAAGUAGAGGAGCAUCCACGGG